Molecule: ribosomal RNA, 433 nt
Filed under: uncultured bacterium
Lineage: Bacteria
Description: partial 16S ribosomal RNA
Rfam family: Bacterial small subunit ribosomal RNA
Source: RNAcentral
AACGAACGCUGGCGGCAUGCCUAACACAUGCAAGUCGAACGAGCCCUUCGGGUCUAGUGGCGCACGGGUGCGUCACGCGUGGGAACCUGCCCUUAGGUUCGGCAUAACUCCCCGAAAGGGGUGCUAAUACCGGAUCAUGUCUUCGGACCAAAGAUUUAUCGCCCUUGGAUGUGCCGGCGUUGGAUUAGCUAGUUGGUAGGGUAAAAGCAUACCAAGGCGUCGAUUCAUAGCUGGUCUGAGAGGAUGAUCAGCGACACUGGGACGAAGACACGGCCCAGAAUCCUACGGGAGGCAGCAGUGGGGAAUAGUGGACAGUGGGCGAAAGGCUGAUCGAGCAAGGCCGCGUGAGUGAUGAAGGCCUGAGGGAUGUAAAGCGCUUUUACCCGGGAUGAUAAUGACAGUACCGGGAGAAUAAGCCCCGGCUAACUCCGUG